AAAAAGGCAAACCCUGAGUUUUCGUGUCCAACUUUUUGACUAUCCGUCUUAUAUGAAAUUUUUUUAUAAUUCGUAUUUUUAUUAUUGUUAGAUGAUAAAAUAUGAUUAAUAUUUUAUGCGUGACUUGUCUUUUUAAUUUUUUUUAUAAUUUUUUUAAAUAAGACGGACGGUCAAAUAUUGGACACGAAAAUCAGGGUUUGUCUUUUU
This is a microRNA precursor of Oryza rufipogon (brownbeard rice), 207 nucleotides long. It matches the Rfam family "MIR812 microRNA precursor family". Lineage: Eukaryota; Viridiplantae; Streptophyta; Magnoliopsida; Poales; Poaceae. The record is from Rfam.